ACAGCAGCAGCCGCGGUAAUACGGAAGGUCCAGGCGUUAUCCGGAUUUAUUGGGUUUAAAGGGAGCGUAGGCUGGAGAUUAAGUGUGUUGUGAAAUGUAGACGCUCAACGUCUGACUUGCAGCGCAUACUGGUUUCCUUGAGUACGCACAACGUUGGCGGAAUUCGUCGUGUAGCGGUGAAAUGCUUAGAUAUGACGAAGAACUCCGAUUGCGAAGGCAGCUGACGGGAGCGCAACUGACGCUUAAGCUCGAAGGUGCGGGUAUCAAACAGGAUUAGAUACCCCUGUAGUCCCUGUCUCUUAUAC
This 305-nucleotide ribosomal RNA is filed under the name uncultured bacterium. Its description in RNAcentral is "partial 16S ribosomal RNA". It matches the Rfam family "Bacterial small subunit ribosomal RNA", at positions 505 to 807 of the family's 1533-position model. The record is from RNAcentral.